AUUGAACGCUGGCGGCAUGCCUUACACAUGCAAGUCGAACGGCGGCGCGGGAGCAAUCCUGGCGGCGAGUGGCGAACGGGUGAGUAAUACAUCGGAACGUGCCCAAUCGUGGGGGAUAACGCAGCGAAAGCUGUGCUAAUACCGCAUACGAUCUACGGAUGAAAGCAGGGGAUCGCAAGACCUUGCGCGAAUGGAGCGGCCGAUGGCAGAUUAGGUAGUUGGUGAGGUAAAGGCUCACCAAGCCUUCGAUCUGUAGCUGGUCUGAGAGGACGACCAGCCACACUGGGACUGAGACACGGCCCAGACUCCUACGGGAGGCAGCAGUGGGGAAUUUUGGACAAAGGGCGAAAGCCUGAUCCAGCCAUGCCGCGUGCAGGAUGAAGGCCUUCGGGUUGUAAACUGCUUUUGUACGGAACGAAACGGUCUUUUCUAAUAAAGAAGGCUAAUGACGGUACCGUAAGAAUAAGCACCGGCUAACUACGUG
RNAcentral lists this ribosomal RNA (484 nucleotides) under uncultured bacterium. RNAcentral describes it as "partial 16S ribosomal RNA". It matches the Rfam family "Bacterial small subunit ribosomal RNA", at positions 30 to 507 of the family's 1533-position model. The record is from RNAcentral.